GAUGAACGCUGGCGGUAUGCUUAACACAUGCAAGUCGAACGGACUCUUCGGAGUUAGUGGCGGACGGGUGAGUAACGCGUGAGAAUCUGGCUUUGGGUUCGGGACAACCACUGGAAACGGUGGCUAAUACCGGAUGUGCCGAGAGGUAAAAGAGAAAUUGCCUGAAGAUGAGCUCGCGUCUGAUUAGCUAGUUGGUGAGGUAAAGGCUCACCAAGGCAGCGAUCAGUAGCUGGUCUGAGAGGAUGACCAGCCACACUGGGACUGAGACACAGCCCAGACUACUACGGGAGGCAGCAGUGGGGAAUUUUCCGCAAUGGGCGAGUGCCUGACGGAGCAAUACCGCGUGAGGGAAGAAGGCUCUUGGGUUGUAAACCUCUUUUCUUAGGGAAGAACAAAAUGACGGUACCUAAUGAAUCAGCAUCGGCUAACUCCGUG
This 435-nucleotide ribosomal RNA is filed under the name uncultured bacterium. RNAcentral describes it as "partial 16S ribosomal RNA". It matches the Rfam family "Bacterial small subunit ribosomal RNA", at positions 28 to 507 of the family's 1533-position model. The record is from RNAcentral.